CAGUCCCACCCGUCACUCAAAGGAGCGCAUGUUGUUGUUGCUUGACCACGAUACACUUUCGUUCAGUCGGCAAGCUCCCACACUGAUGAAGACAUCAAACAUACCCAAUUAAACUACAGUACUCCAAAUACAGAAAUGACUACGUCAUGGCCGAAGAACACCAGAGGAAACACCUUGAGUUCUACUGAGGGAAGAAGUUGAAGACUACUCAGAACAGAUUGACCAUGAGCGAGAGCUCUGACUACAGUUUAAAUACAGGACUGGGUUGGUGAAAGGAGGAAGCCUUAACGUUCAACUCUCCAGACAUGUAAAAUAAGUGAUUACCUCAAGGGGGAAUGCAUUUUUAAAAGUAUUCCAAUGGGCCUUGAAGACCCCAUCAAUCAGGCUACACAGAGAGGAUUUCAGUCAGUCAUCCCGGAAGUAACUCAUCAGUCAAAUCUCAUCACCACCCCCCCCCCCCCCCCCCCUCCCCCCCACUUGUUCUUCUCAGCUUAUAGGAAAAUACCACUCAAACUACACAACCAAAAGUAUGUGGAUACCUGCUCGUCGAACAUCUCAUUCCAACAUCAUGAGAAUUAAUAUGGAGUUGGUCCACUCCUUUGCUGUUAUAACCGCCUCCACUAUUCUGGGAAGGCUUUCUACUAAUGUAAACUCACUCACUUUUGGACAUCGCCUUGGUCCGUACAAUUGACCUUAUUUUAGCGCCCCAAAAACGUAAUACUUCCAGAUCAACUGUAAUGUCAAUACCAUUGUAAAGCAGUUUCUCCCCUUCCCAACAUAAUCAAUUACAUGACCUCUACGCUGCCCAUUUCUGUAUGAUUCAAGAAGGCAAUGAGCUCCGUUGGGUGUUUUUAAAAAUGGUGGGUGGGGAAGCGAAACUAAUGCGUGAUAGUGAGGAGAGAUGUGUGGGAAAACUUUUUUUCCCCACUCGAUCUGUCCAACUUAUCACCUUUAAAAUAUAAAUAAAACACUAUAAAGAGCUUA
Molecule: long non-coding RNA, 984 nt
Organism: Oncorhynchus mykiss (rainbow trout)
Lineage: Eukaryota; Metazoa; Chordata; Actinopteri; Salmoniformes; Salmonidae
Source: RefSeq, a predicted model, not a curated record